This 85-nucleotide transfer RNA is filed under the name Desulfoluna butyratoxydans. RNAcentral describes it as "tRNA-Leu". It matches the Rfam family "tRNA". Rfam says of the family: Transfer RNA (tRNA) molecules are approximately 80 nucleotides in length. Their secondary structure includes four short double-helical elements and three loops (D, anti-codon, and T loops). RNAcentral also lists the same sequence under 6 other names. The record is from RNAcentral. Lineage: Bacteria; Pseudomonadati; Thermodesulfobacteriota; Desulfobacteria; Desulfobacterales; Desulfolunaceae.
GCCGAAGUGGUGGAAUUGGUAGACGCGCACGGUUGAGGGCCGUGUGGGGCAACCCGUGGGAGUUCAAGUCUCCCCUUCGGCACCA